This 72-nucleotide transfer RNA is filed under the name Solanum tuberosum (potato). It matches the Rfam family "tRNA". Rfam says of the family: Transfer RNA (tRNA) molecules are approximately 80 nucleotides in length. Their secondary structure includes four short double-helical elements and three loops (D, anti-codon, and T loops). Lineage: Eukaryota; Viridiplantae; Streptophyta; Magnoliopsida; Solanales; Solanaceae. The record is from Rfam by way of RNAcentral.
UCUUCAUUAGCUUAGUGGUGAAAUGGUCGAUUGUUAAUUGAUUGGUUGUAGGUUUAAAUUCUACUUGGAGAG